GGAAAAGAACACGUUAAGUUUUCAGGAGAUCAAAUUCCUUCCAGAACUGAUGGACUGUAGGAUUACUCAACAAACAAAAAGCAGGAAUUUUAAAAAAAUGAAAGUGUUCACAGAUCUUUCUCUUUAAAAAAAGACUAAUGAGACAGUGUUCGUGUAAUAUUUCAGUUCCAUGGAUUUACAGACAGGCUCUUCCUACAGGUGUUUGAAGCAAGGUAGGGCCUCUUCUAUUCCAGCAGCAUGAAAGACAAAGACUAUAUUACAUCACACUUAGCAGGUAAAGCUAACAGGGUUUACAGGAUUACACAGCAAUUGCUUUCUCCAGUUUUUUCACGGUUCCUUUGACCUUGAGAAUUUGGUUCUGGCAAUGUCUCUCUAGCCACCAAAUGCAUCACUGUUGUUUUGCCAAAAGGAAGUUUUAAUGCUCCUAGUGUCACAUUGCCAUGAAGAAACCUCCCUUGAUAAAUAAGCCGCAAGAUAUUUGGACUGCUGACUUGUUCUUCUUCCCAAUCCAUCGGCCAGUUGUCAUACACAUGUUUUGCAAUAUCUGCAGCAGAGUCAUUUGGUGAGAAUAAGAACUCUUUCGUUUUUCCGCUUACCAAGAUGAGGCGCAAAUUUAUCAUGUCAGCCGGAACGCUGCUGGACAUCUUGAUAUCCCUCUGACGCUUUAACACCAACUUUGAAAGCAGAACGAGAAGCACCGAGCGGAGAUCCCCGGCCCGAGGCCGGCGUGGGGCGGCGGGGCCCUGCGGAGCUCCGGGCCGCGGGGCUGUGCCGGGGGCGGCGGCUCCGUCAGCGGCGGUGCCAGGCGGGGCGGGCAGCACUGCGCCGCGACAUGGGCUGCGCGCGGCUUUUCCCCCCUCGCGCUCUUCCUUCCCGGCGAAUAACGACGGGGUGAUUCACGGAUAAUGGGGCGGCCGUCACCUCCUCAUUAAGCGCCGCGCUGCCGGCCCGACUCGCUGCCCUGGGGCCGGCGGGGCCCGGGGGAGGACGCCGGGCUCGGGCCUCCCCUAGGCGGGCUGCCGCAUGCAACAGGCUCCGGCGGGGACGGCCCUGCGGCUCCGGGGCUCGGCGGGGCCGUUCAGCGGCUGUCGCCUCCCGCAACCUCAGCUCUCAUCGCCUCCUCCUCCUCCUCAGCCCGCCCUCGCUCCCUCCUCCCC
RNAcentral lists this long non-coding RNA (1157 nucleotides) under Gallus gallus (chicken). Lineage: Eukaryota; Metazoa; Chordata; Aves; Galliformes; Phasianidae. The record is from RNAcentral.